UGUGCCAAAUGGAGGGGUGUUCAAAAAAAAAAAAAAAAAAAAAAAAAAAAAC
RNAcentral lists this non-coding RNA (52 nucleotides) under Prorocentrum micans. Lineage: Eukaryota; Dinophyceae; Prorocentrales; Prorocentraceae. The record is from RNAcentral.